RNAcentral lists this ribosomal RNA (200 nucleotides) under uncultured bacterium. RNAcentral describes it as "partial 16S ribosomal RNA". It matches the Rfam family "Bacterial small subunit ribosomal RNA", at positions 8 to 212 of the family's 1533-position model. The record is from RNAcentral.
AGAGUUUGAUCCUGGCUCAGGACGAACGCUGGCGGCGUGCCUAAUACAUGCAAGUCGAGCGGUCCCUUCGGGGAUAGCGGCGGACGGGUGAGUAACACGUAGGCAACCUGCCUGUAAGAUCGGGAUAACUAUCGGAAACGAUAGCUAAGACCGGAUAACUGGACUUCUCGCAUGAGAAGUUCAUGAAACACGGAGCAAUC